UGAUAACUCGUAGCAAAUGUCCCAUCUUACGAGCUAGGGUUAGAAAGAUUUUGAAUCGUUAGAUUUUUCCAAUUUGGUCCAACCAAAGGAUUCCAUCUCCACAGGAAAGUUCAUUACAACACAUCCAAAUGAUGUCUACGAACAAGAUGCCGGUGCUCUGUAAAUUUGGGGGCAACUUCAUUUCGGAAUCAAAUAAAGUUUAUUACAAGGGAGGCACAAACCGCAUUGUUCAUGUCGAUUAAGGGAUUGAUUACAUCGAUCUUGUAUCUAAAGUGCAUGGGAUUUGCAAGUUUACCGACAUUAGCAACGUCAAGCACAAAUAUCCUGGUCUAGAUUUGGAUUCACUAGUGUCGAUUGAGAAUGAUGAUGACGUAUCCAAUAUGAUGGAAGCAUUUCCUCAAAGCAGUGAGCCUAUUCAGCUCUUCGUUUUUUGUGGUCAAAACCUUUCAAUCCCCACUGCGAAUCCCAUUUUUCUGAUGUAGAAUGCUGAUAAUGAAAAUAAUCAAGCAUCAUUGCGGAAUUUACAUGAAAGUAAUGGAACACCUGCACCUUUCUCACAUAAUACCAUUGUCAAUAACAAUAAUGUUCCAAGUGCAUCAAAUGAUUUACGUAAAGUGGACUGCUUGUUGAUGGAUAAUCGAGAAUUACGUUAUGGGGCGGUUGGUAGUUGUGUUAAUGAGAUGCUGAAAAUUAUGUCGGUUUUAAAAGAAGGCCAAGAAUUUGAAGAUGCAAUAGCUUUCCACAAGGCUUUAAGGGAGUACACCAUACGUUCAAAUUUUGAAUACAAGCGAACCAGGUCGGGCGGUGGCCAUUAUCAGGUGGAAUGCAUUAAAGACAAUUGCUCAUGGUGCAUACAUGC
Long non-coding RNA from Magnolia sinica, 859 nucleotides. RefSeq lists it as uncharacterized. The transcript is spliced from 3 exons. NCBI's taxonomy places the organism in Eukaryota, Viridiplantae, Streptophyta, Magnoliopsida, Magnoliales, Magnoliaceae. The record is from RefSeq and is a predicted model, not a curated record.